RNAcentral lists this long non-coding RNA (292 nucleotides) under Gossypium raimondii (Peruvian cotton). RNAcentral's name for it is "long non-coding RNA (GRAI_LNC008937)". Lineage: Eukaryota; Viridiplantae; Streptophyta; Magnoliopsida; Malvales; Malvaceae. The record is from RNAcentral.
AGCACUAACCGUACAAACAUUUAAAAGAUGUUAAAUUACUACAUUAGGACUUAAUUAAUUAUUAAUUAAGUCAUUUAACUAUUAUAAAUCAAUAGCGAUACAGUUUUAUGAUUUUUACGAUUUAGUUCUUUUUCCUUAAUUAACUAUCAAAACAUUAAAAUUUUCAGACCAAAUUUCAAUUCACCUAUAUAAUAGCUCUAUAAAUAUUUAAUAAAAAUAUUUACGGGCUCGGUUUACAGAAACGAGGUCCCAAUACUUCAUUUUUCAAAACCACUUGACUUUUAGUACGCAC